RNAcentral lists this ribosomal RNA (655 nucleotides) under uncultured Gammaproteobacteria bacterium. RNAcentral describes it as "bacterial SSU rRNA". It matches the Rfam family "Bacterial small subunit ribosomal RNA", at positions 38 to 691 of the family's 1533-position model. Lineage: Bacteria; Pseudomonadati; Pseudomonadota; Gammaproteobacteria. The record is from RNAcentral.
GGCGGCAGGCCUAACACAUGCAAGUCGAGCGCGAAAGCACUUCGGUGUGAGUAGAGCGGCGGACGGGUGAGUAACGCGUAGGAAUCUACCUAGUAGUGGGGGACAACUCGGAGAAACUCGAGCUAAUACCGCAUAAGCCCUACGGGGGAAAGCGGGGGACCUUCGGGCCUCGUGCUAUUAGAUGAGCCUGCGUUGGAUUAGCUAGUUGGUGGGGUAAAGGCCUACCAAGGCGACGAUCCAUAGCUGGUCUGAGAGGAUGAUCAGCCACACCGGGACUGAGACACGGCCCGGACUCCUACGGGAGGCAGCAGUGGGGAAUAUUGCGCAAUGGGCGAAAGCCUGACGCAGCCAUGCCSCGUGUGUGAAGAAGGCCUUCGGGUUGUAAAGCACUUUCAAUUGGGAGGAAAGGUUCACGGUUAAUAACCGUGAGCUGUGACGUUACCUUUAGAAGAAGCACCGGCUAACUCCGUGCCAGCAGCCGCGGUAAUACSGAGGGUGCGAGCGUUAAUCGGAAUUACUGGGCGUAAAGCGCGCGUAGGUGGUCUGUUAAGUCGGAUGUGAAAGCCCCGGGCUCAACCUGGGAACUGCAUUCGAUACUGGCAGACUAGAGUGCGAGAGAGGGAGGUAGAAUUCCAUGUGUAGCGGUGAAAUGCGU